GCAGUCGUGGCCGAGUGGUUAAGGCGAUGGACUCGAAAUCCAUUGGGGUCUCCCCGCACAGGUUCGAAUCCUGUCGGCGGCG
This 82-nucleotide transfer RNA is filed under the name Dermacentor silvarum. RNAcentral describes it as "transfer RNA serine (anticodon CGA)". It matches the Rfam family "tRNA". Rfam says of the family: Transfer RNA (tRNA) molecules are approximately 80 nucleotides in length. Their secondary structure includes four short double-helical elements and three loops (D, anti-codon, and T loops). The record is from RNAcentral. Lineage: Eukaryota; Metazoa; Arthropoda; Arachnida; Ixodida; Ixodidae.